RNAcentral lists this ribosomal RNA (554 nucleotides) under Blastocystis sp. subtype 14. RNAcentral describes it as "SSU rRNA". It matches the Rfam family "Eukaryotic small subunit ribosomal RNA", at positions 48 to 617 of the family's 1831-position model. Lineage: Eukaryota; Bigyra; Opalinata; Blastocystidae. The record is from RNAcentral.
GCCAUGCAUGUGUAAGUAUAAAUAAUUCUACUUUGAAACUGCGAAUGGCUCAUUAUAUCAGUUAUAGUUUAUUAGAAAUAAUUUACUACUUGGAUAACCGUAGUAAUUCUAGGGCUAAUACAUGAGUAAAUCCUCGACUUUGAAGAGGUGUGUUUAUUAGUAUGAAAACCAUAUGCUUUUGCAUAAUAGUGAGUAAUAAUAACCUUUCAUAUCGUAUGUUGUAAUAACGAUAGUUCUUUCAAGUUUCUGCCCUAUCAGCUUUCGAUGGUAGUGCAUUGGACUACCAUGGCAGUAACGGGUAACGAAGAAUUUGGGUUCGAUUUCGGAGAGGGAGCCUGAGAGAUGGCUACCACAUCCAAGGAAGGCAGCAGGCGCGUAAAUUACCCAAUCCUGACAUAGGGAGGUAGUGACAAUAAAUCACAAUGCGGGACUUUUAGUUUUGCAAUUGGAUUGAGAACAAUGUAAAAGAGUUAUCGAUAAACAAUUGGAGGGCAAGUCUGGUGCCAGCAGCCGCGGUAAUUCCAGCUCCAAUAGCGUAUAUUAACGUUGUUGCA